Heterocephalus glaber (naked mole-rat) is the source of this 10542-nucleotide long non-coding RNA. RefSeq lists it as uncharacterized. NCBI's taxonomy places the organism in Eukaryota, Metazoa, Chordata, Mammalia, Rodentia, Bathyergidae. The record is from RefSeq and is a predicted model, not a curated record.
UCGGAGUCCGGGCUUUCGGGCGGUGGAGACUCGAGGGUUUUGAGGAGGGACGACCUGGCAAAAGGUGCCUGCCUGUGAGCGGAGAGCAGUGCUCACAGGCUCACCCUGGGGGUGCAGGUGGCUCUGUGCUUGGAGCCUGGGCUCGGCUACCUGGUGUGCGGUCACCUUGGAUCUCAGGAAGGGGAGCUCUUGAGAGACUCAGCUUGGAGACGUGGGAAGAGCGCUCAGCAAGAAGCCGAGAUCCCCCCCGGGUUCCUGGGCUCAGGGCUCAGUAGAGAAAAAGUCUGGAAAGGACAUUUUGCAAAAUUGAUUUCUCCCCUUCUCCAACCUGACUUCGAGUGGCCACGGGAGCAGUGGGGCUGGUUUGGUCUGUCAGCAGCUGUCACCGGUGCUCCAGCCUCAGCUCAGCUGGGAAGCAGAGGAAGGAGGUGCUGGGGUCAUCGACACAGUGCUUCGCUCCUCCUGGGCCCUCAUGCGUCACCUGGGCUCCAGCUGGACCCGCGCUCCCUCCUGGAAUUGUCAGUCAUCCUGACACGGGAGGAGCACGACUUCCUAGGGAACUGUUUGUGUCUCUGCUGUCCUUUCUUGGUGGCAGCAUGGUCAGAGCUGGUGUGGUCCAAGGCCCGUGCAGACAGCACUACCCUCUCUGGUCAGAACGGUAUGCAGCAGUCUUGACCGACCGACCGAGCGACCGACCGACCAACCCUCCGCUUUGGUGUUGUGCUGAGCUACCUCCUUUUCCACCGUCCUUGUCGUGUUUGUCCCGGUGAUGUUGGGUGGGCUGCUUGUUGCAUGGACUCUUUCCAACCCGAGCACACACUUUAGGGCUCUCCAACUCCCUGCUUGGGAGGAGGCCCUGGGUGUCCGCUCCCCCGGGCCUCGUCCCUCUUCCUCCGGUCUCCAGGGAGCCCGCACCAGCCUCCUGGCCUCAUGGCCUCAGUCUCGUGUGUUGGGUGCUGCUGAUGCUGCCCUGGUCCCGGAGGAGGGAGUUUCGUCGUAAGCCUGGAAGGGAGAGACGUCGCCCUUCUCCUUGGCGUCUGUCUCACUUCCCAGGGUGACAGUGUCGGCCCCCAUGUCUGCACACCCGAGGGGUCUCCUGAGUGCCACUUUCCUAGGGGCCGCAGCAGGUGCAUCUCGGUGACCUCAGCACGGGGAGGUGGAGGUGGGCCUUUCUGGGUGUCCUCUCCAGAUGGCAUUCGAACCCCUGCUUCGUUGGCCAGAAGGGCUCUGGCAGGAUGCGGGCCGGGCUGCGGACGAGUGGGCCGUGGGUGAGUGGCGUGGCCUUCGGGAUGUGGUCUGAGUGGGGAAGGCCUGGGGCACAACAGGUGAUAGGAAUCGGCCCUGGAGGACAAAGUCGGGGGGGCCGCGGGGCCGCUGAGAGGACGAACAGUCCAGAGAACACGGAAGGGAAAGGUCACAGUGCGAAAACCUGACUGGAGGAAAACAGGAGCCCAGGAAAGCGUGAGUGCAGCAGGGUCCCCGGGGGGCUUCGCAGACACUGCGGAGGCCGCUUCCGGCCGUGCUUCCUGUGGGGGCCCUGGGGGCGGCUCUCCAGAGGAGGCUGGCGCCCGUGGGGAGCCAGGUCCUGGGAGUCGGAGAGGCAAGGGCUCAAGGGAGCCGGGCUUCGCUUUCCAGCACCUUCAGUGCCUGCGGGGGGCUGCUCGCAGAGCCCAGGCCGUGGGUCUCAGGGUCCUGCUGCGGCCGCUGCGCGGUGGCUGCUGUCCCGUUUGCAUUGCUCUGAAGAGAGCCUGAGAUUAGGGCGAAGGCCGUGAUUUCUGAGGAGCGGGAGAGGAGAAGCGGGCGCAGGGUCUGGGCCCAGCUCCGUGGAGAGGGCAGAGGCUCCGGCACCACCCCCACCUCUGCCCAGCCGGGCCCCGCAGGCGGCGCUGGGCCUGCUCUCCGGGCACAGCUGGAGCAGGAGCCUUCAGGACGGUUUCAUUUAUCUCUGUGUCCCCACUGCUAGCGCGGGGCAUGCGACGGCACACAGCUCUGUAAGAAACAGAAGCAGUGUCACCGUGAAAAUAUCCUUUGCAUACCAAGGUCACCCGGAGCACGGCCCAGACUGACACAGACCGAGGGAGCGAGUGUGCCCCGAGCGAACACAGACAACAUUUCCAAAGGCUCAGGCACGGCAUGGCCCCUUCCUCCCUGGUCAGUCACACAGACUCCAUGGCUAAGAAGCCCCAGACCAGCUUGUGGGCGCACUGAGCAUUGCGGGACACAUCUGCCACCAUCUCCACACUGUCAGGGUCCCUGGGUGUUCGCGCAUUGCGGGGGGUUGUGUGUUAGAACGACCCGAGAGCUCUAGCCAGAUGUGUACUGACCCAGAAGGGCCGAGCUGCCUGUACCUCCGGGACAGAGACCAGCCAUCCGGAUUCGACUUUGCACGGCGGCGAGGUGACUCUUCUAGGAGAUGCCUUGGAGAGCCUGCCGAGGCUCGUCCAGGCCAAGUGAGCUGAAGAGCUUCCCUGUCUUCACGUGGGACAGGAAGUGGACAGCAAGCUCUCUCAGGCUGCUUAGGGUGCCAGUCCUGCUUGUAAGGGCUCUGCCUGCAGGACCAAAUCACUGCUCAGAAGGGCCCUCCUCCUGUUCCCGUCACUGGGGCCAAGGACUUGAAGAGGCUCGGACACCCCAAUUGCCGCAGAUUGCUGGGACAGGGGCUGGUGGAGAAAGGUUUCUGACGAGGGCAUGAAGUUGAGCAGUGUGCAACCUGCCCAGCUGUGCAGAGAAGGUGCAUGGGUGAUGGAAAGUGGAGAAGCUGCCACGGGCCACCUAGGGCCAGGGUGACUCACGCGCUCCUGGCUGUGUUCCCUGGGCAAGGACUGAGGAGUGGACAGCUGUGACCCCUGAGGCUUCUCUCUGCUCCUCUCUCCUUCCUGCUCGCCUUCUCAGAGGUGGGUGAAGAUGCCACGUUCGUGCCCUGCUCUGUCCGUGGCCGCAGCUCUGUAGCAGCCUCAGGCCGCAGCCCAAGUGAGUGAAGAUGGACUUCCCAGGCCGCUUGGCCUUGGUUACCGUUCACCCAGCUGUCCCCACGCCGGGCUGGUGCCCUACAGCCUUCUCGCUCUCCAUGCCUUCCCCGUUUCCCUCUCGAGGGCAGGGCAGGGGCUUUGCCUUUCAGGGUUCCUCUCCCGUCCGCCCCAUCACGCCGGGAAGCAGUCCUGAGUGAGUGUGGUUCCGCUCUGCUCACCCGGUGGGGGUAGUGGCCUGGCGCCACCACUGGGCCUGGAGCAGCCCCUCCCUCCGCCCCAGGGAGGUGACGGCCCCGGGGCUCUGCGGCUUGGCGCCCAAGGUGACGGGAGGAUCUGGAGCUCCGUGGGGUGGGGUGCCUGGGGGGGACCCAGAGGUGGGGGAGGAAGCCUCGGAGUGUGGAGAGACAGUGGAGCCCUGGCAAGGCGCCGGCCUGUGACCGGGAGGCCGAGGCCGGGAGGGACACUGCGCAGCUUCGUCAGAGUGGGCGGGAACUUCAGGGAGUGGUGCCUCCGGGGUGCCGGGGUGUGGACGUCUGCAGGCCUCUGUCCCCACCCGAGCCACAGGGCACACAGAGACAGCUGCUCCCCAGCGUGACCACGGCUUGUGAGAGAGGGGUCUGCAGGCGAUGGCCGGCUCUGCUGUCCUGCUCUGAGGGUGACAGUCCCCCGGCAGAGUGCCUAGAUGAGUCUAAUAAUGCUGUCCGUUCUUCUGGCGACUUUGCCUUCUGCUGAUGGAGAGUGGCAAGGAACCCUGACUGCUCUGGCAAGCUUGGGCCACAACCCUGGGGUGAGGGCUUCUCGUGCUUUGGGUGUCCCCCAGCACCAUGCCCUCCCAGGUCUCACUGGCACCACCUCCCUGUGGCACAGGGCGUCCUCGAGGAGGGGGGAUUCUUAGCCCAGCAUGGGCACAGGCAUUGCCUGGACAGCUUUCCCUGUGGGAAUCAAAGAAACUCCCCAGGGCUUCUGGUAGACCCGGAUCUGAUUACUGCCCUUGGCCUGUACUGAGAGACGGUGGAAAAGACUCUCUCCUUCAUCCACUCCUUUUUCUUUUUGCCAGUAUGCAGCAGACAUUGACACCUGCCAGUGUAGCUUCACUUUUUUCCUUUUAGAAUUUAAACCCUAAAAUUAUUUUACUUUAAAUUUUAUUUUAAAAAUUUUUUGAGAGCGCACGUUUGCAGUACGUAGUGAUUCCAUUCAUGUGGGGCUUGGGUACACGAACAGAGCACACCCGAUUCUCUUUAUGUCCCUCCCCUCCCUCCUCCUCCUCCCUCCAUCUCUUGGCUGCUUUCCUACUUGGAAAAGACUACAUUUUAAAAAGGAAUUCAUUGGGAUGAUGUGGAUGGAAUCAUGAGAGAACGAUGACCGACCAGGAGAACCCUAAAACCCAUGAAGCAGUCUUCUCUGGGGCCUGCCCAUCCGAUGCACAGCUCUGCAUCACCCACUUGAAGUCCCAGCACCCUCAAGACUCAGAGCCUCAUCUAAGCCAAGCUCUGUCUCAGCCCUGCGGGCUGGGGAUGUCUCGACCCAGCUGAGCCUGAAAGGAAACUGAGUUUGAUUAGCAAAGGAAGAGGACAGUUGCUGGGAACGUACAAACAGCAGGUGCCAAUCACUGCUGCCCAUGAGAAUCCUCUACACACGGUGAAAGCUGCCUAACCACCUGCCUUGGCUUUUCUGAGCAGCUUGGGUUAGAGGGAUUAGCUCCACCUGCAGAGGAACAGCCUGCAUCACUGAGACAAGGCUGAGACCCAGGUGCAGGUUUGGGGGUUCUCCAUGGCGCACUGGGCCCGGGCUCCUCACCUCUCUGAAGACUGGGACUGAUUCGCUAACGGGGCAGUCGCUGCCAUUGCCAGAUGCAUGGUGCCUCCUGGAGCCUGCAGUAAGAAACCUUGACUCUGAAUCUGGAGCUGUCUCCCAGAGCCCUUAGCUGGCGGACCAGGUGCCCCUCAGGCUGGCUUGACUGGUGCUUCUUGGGAUGAGCACAAAGCCCAAGCCCUGUGAUGUUGCUUGGCUUUUAACUUGAGAUUUCAGCUUUGACUCACUAUUUACACCAUAGCUUCAUGAAUAGUCUUCUUUCCUUUUUUGUGUAGGUUGCUACAAUGCCUUAGAUAAUAGCUCCAGUGCGGGACUUUGUUGGCGCUCCAGCCUGUAUUUCCUGAUCUAAUUUCUACCUUUGCUUGUUUCUGCUGUGUACUGAUUGCAUGAUCAUGUGAUGUGUAUUUACUAUGACUGGUUUUAUCCCUUUUGUGGGGAAAGCCUUGGUGGAAAUAGCAGAGCUUCUCCUCAAAUGGUUAUUGGCUCUGUGUGCUCAGGAAAGAUACUCACUUCUCUGUGCCCCAGUCUUCUAAACAAUGCCCUGCCUGUGCUGCUGGGUAGUUUAGGGGUCAGGUGAAUUUGUGUGCAGAAGGGGGUCUGCCUGGCCUCAUUACACACCCAGGAGGCAGCCACCUGGUGAGGAGUGAUAGUGCAGUGACGCACAUAGAGAUUUACUCAGUGUCUUGGUCACUUUUCUCGUUGCUGAGACAAAAUACCUGACAUCCAAAGUCAAAGGAGGAAAGGUUUAUUUGGCUCACACUGUGUAGAGCUUUCAGUGUAUAGUCAGCUGGCUCCAAGGUAGGGUUGCCUGACAGAGGAGAAACAGUCCAUGGCAGGCAGAAGGCAGCAAGCAGCAAGGGAUGACCACAGGUCUCUCUGUCCUUUCUAUCUUAUCCAGGCUACCAACCCUUAGAACGGGUGGCACUCGCACCCUUAAUCUUAGCAUUGCACCAUGAUUCGAACCCAGCAUCACGCCCUUGAUCCCAGCAGCAUAAAUGCUAGAUUCAGCCAUCUCUGAAAAGUGCCCCCUCUGACUGCACGUGGCUUUGGGGGACAUCUAGACACAGCCAUAAGGUCCUGUGGCCUGAACUUUGGCAAAGUUGAGGGAAAGGACAAGCUAGGAGGCAGAGAGGGUGCUUCGGAACUGAGAUGAAGCCACAUCGCCCCUUACCCACUCGGGGGCACAGGGCUCCUGCAGACCCACCUCUCAGGGUGCACUCUGAGGUGCACUGCACACGCACACUGCACCCCUCCAUGAGAACUCAGGGAUGGGCUGGGGAGGCUGAGUCAUGCACCGGGCUCCUUUGUUACCUGGGCCCUGAUUGGAAACCUGCAUACUGGGGGAAGGAGGAGCAAUUUUAAGGGCUCCUGGCUCACACAGAGUCUGUCCCACCUCAUCCAAGCACCCGUCUUAUUAUGCGAUAAAUCACUUGAGAUUUAUGAGCCCCUUGCUUCUAAAUAUUAUUUUAUUUUCCCAGAGAUGAAAGUCUAUUUGGCUUUUGAGUAACCUUGGGGAGAUCUUUUCCCUUUAGUGGGUUUUGACACCAUCCUCAGGACCUCCGUGUGUUGGAGAUGGGCUCCCACCAAUGUGGACGCUCCCGAGCCCCUGUGUCCAGGACCAUGCAGUCCAUACGCCAGGAAUGAGGGAGGCCAAACACACAGGAUGAGCUGCACUGAGCUACAUCUCCAAUCCCCUUUUUGAAAAAGAAUUUUGAGACAAAUUCUUACUAAGCUGCCUGGGCUGGGCUCAAACUUGCAAUCCUCCUGUCUCAGCCACCCAGAGUGCUGGGAUCACAGGUGUGUGCACCAUGCCAAGCUAAGUCAUCUUCAUGAACUAUUCAGUGUUUGUGUGGAGGUGAGAGACUGAUUUCCUAAUAGUAACAGUUUUACAUAAAAGAAGCACUUAUUUCUUAUUAGAUGGACAGUUUGAAGAGAUUCAACAAAAAUAUUUCCUAAUUUUCUGUGGCUCUUCUUUUUAAAGAAACUAAAUUUUCUCAAAAAUUAAUUCAGCAUAUUAAAAAAAACUAAUAGCUUAAAAAAAAUCAAAUGGGAUUGUAAGGUUUAAAAUGUAACAUAGGCAUUCUCUCCUCCCAGUUUGCCCUCAAAUGGCUUGAAACAAGAACUUUCACCUCUUCUUUCCUUCCUCUAAAUAAUAUGUGUAUUUUAUUAGAAGUAGCAUUGCAGGUUAUUUUUUAAUCUGUCAACUUGUAUGGUAUUUAUUAACUUCAUCUAGAGUGACACCCUACCACCACUUACAUUGUCCCUCCCCACCUUCUUGAUAUAGUAACAUCACAACUUUUGGUUCAAUGUCUGUGUUUACAUUUUUAAGGCUGAAAGGUUGCUCAUAGUUGAAUCAAGCAGUGUAGUACAAUUAUGUCCCAUGCUUGAGAAAGGGCCUCACUUUCCCCCUUGACUUACUGUGUAUGCAGGGCAUUUCUGCCAUCUUUCAUCCAUGCCCAGUACUCCUAAAGAUCUUUCCAUGUUUUGUCAACCUUUGUCUCAGAUAUGUAAAAUCUAUCUUUCCUCAUGAUCAGAGAAUCCUCCAGAUAGAGGCUUUUUUUCUGCUCCCAUCUGCCCUGUUUUUUCCUCAGGUUGGUACUGGCCUGUUUUUCAAGGUUUUGCUCUUACCGAGUCCUCUGAUUUAUCUCCUGCUCCUCCUAUUUCUGGUUUAUGUUUUCCUUUGGUUAAAAUACAUCCUCCAGUAGCUUCCUAAGAAAGGACGCAUGGAACAUAUGUUUUUGGGUCAUUGUAUGGGCUUUGUCUUUUUUCUGUCCUCAUACUUGAUUGACUGUUCAGAAAUGGAACCCCAGUUUGAAAUUAAAUUCACCCCAGAACUGAGCUGUAAUUCCAUUGCUUUUUAGCAUUCAUAAUUGCGGUUACAAUGUCUGAUGUAAUUCUUAGUGUCUUUGUAUAGUGUUUAUGUUACUUUAUUUAUUUAUUUUUGGUCUUUCUGGAAUUUAAAAGACUCUCUUUAGCUCUGAUGCCCUGAUAUUUGAUGAUGAAGUACCUUCAUGUGAAUUUUUAAAAAAUAAUUCUCUGAGGCCCACAGUGGAACUUGGGAGAUGUCAGUCCUCUAAUUUUUUUAAAAAAACUGUAUUGUUUAUUUGCUAAUUUCCCCCCAUUCUUUCACCUGAAGUUCCAAAGAGUUAAGUAUUACAUCUUUUAGAUCAGAAUUUUUCUCAUAUCAGACAGAUAAAAAAAAUUUAGCAGGUUGUAAUGAGUAUUUAAAAAAAAAUAGAAUAGACUGGAAUAAAAUAGGUAAAUCCAGUCCGCAUGUGUAAUGGGUAACUUUAUGUGCCUAUUUGAAUAGGCUGAGGGAUAUUCAGUUAGCUGGUAAAACAUUUCUUUCAGGUGUGUCUGUGAAAGUGAUUUCUGGAAAUUAGCUCUUGAAUCAGUAGACAAUAAGGAAUAUCUGACCUCACCAAUGCAGGCAGGCAUCAUACAAUCUGAGUGUCCUGAUAGACCAAAAAAGACAAGGAAAGUGAACCCUCACUCUUUCUUUGUGAGCUGAUAUGCACAUCUCUCCUAUCCUCAGGAUCAGAGCUCUGCACUCCAAGACUUGGACAAGCACCCUCUCCCCAUCACUCCCACCCCAGUCCUCAGGCCCCUGGCCUUGUACUGGGAGUAACACGCUUGUCUCCCCCAGACCUACACUGAAUGGUUCCCCUGGGUCUGCAGCUUGUACAGCAUACCCUGGGACUCCCACGCUCACUCUGUGACUGUGUGAGCCAAUCCCCAAGGUGGACGUUCUCUCACUUACCUCUGUGUAGCCUGCUGGCUCUGUUUCUCUGGAGAACUCUAACAGCGCACAUCACAUAACAAACACUGUCACUGUGUCUGCACAGCUGUGCAUACAAGGCUGUGCUGCAGUGGUGAUGAUUUGUUUCUGAAUCACAGUAAAGCAGUUUUCACAGACAUGGCACAAGGCUUUGAUACCUUAUCCUUGCUCUUCUGUCCAUGAAUUCUAUGCCUUCUUGUUUUACUUCCUUCUAAACCUUCUGUUGAAUUUAAGAUUUUUAGCUAUUAGGUUUUUAGCUCCUAGGCACUCUAUCUGCUGUGUAUUCCUUUUCCAUAGUGUUACAUUAUGCUGUUUCACAGAUGUAAUAUCUUCUCUCCUCUUUAUGAGAAUUUUGCUUGCAGGGGUUUUAAAUGUUUUUUUUUUUUUGCUUCUUGCAUUUUCUCUGCUUCAUCUUUCCAGUUCCUUUUUUCUUUUCUUUUUCUUGUUCACUUUGGUCUUUUUAUUCUUUCUUCAAAUGUCUGUGGUUCUUGGUUACCCAUUGCAAUACAGGAAUUAGGCACUACAAAGCUGACUAGAAGCUGUAGGACCAUGAGUGUUUGUGUCCACAAUCUAGGGACACUGACUCAGAUGAGGGAGGCAAGGGAGGAGCCCCUCUGUGUGGGGUAGAGACCAAGAGUUCUCAUAGGAACUUCUAGAAAAGCACCUCCAACAAAAAUAUAAUAAAAAUCACAUACAUAAAUUUAGAGUCUAGCAGCCAUAUCUUAAAGAGUAAAAAGAAACAGUUGAAAUUUAUAAGAAUAUAUUUUAUUUAGCUCACUAUGCCCCGAAUACUACAAUUUUAACAUUCAAACAACAUGGAAAUUAUUAAUGAAAUUUUAUAAUUUUUACUUUCACACCAGAUCUUUAGAAUCUUGAAUGUCUUACAUCUGCAGCACAUUUCAUUUGGACUGCCCAUGUCCCCAGGGCCCAGUGGCCCCCAGUGGUCAGUGGCUGCUGUAUUGAGCAGCUCAGAUCUGGGGCUUCUUAGACCCAGGACACAGGGGAUCCAUGACUCAUCAGCCAGAUGCCAUGGAGGAAAAAUACACUACGUGUUUUAGAGUUUCCCUUCCCUUACCUGGGAAACAAAGUUGGAAUCGCUCAAGCCUCUGCUUCUAUUUACCUUUCUGCCUGGGUUGUUAGCAAGAAGGUUGGGUUCAAAAGAGGGCAAAGAGUAGAGGGACAGCCAGGAGAGCCACUGCCCAGUGAGUGCCACUGGGUGUCAGGCAUGGCGCUGGUGACCACACUUAGCAGCUCUGGGUUUCAGAUGGGCUAAUUCUGAGAGUGGAUCAGCUUCUUCACAGCAGGCAACAGGAUGGUCUGUCUCCUCCGUUCUUACCAUUUAUAAACUCCAGAGCCUGGUGUCUGGCAGGCAGCUGCCCUUCACAUCAUGGGGACCUGACUGAAUGGAGAGCCCAGAGUCACACCCAGGGCCAGAGGCCCCAAAGCCCUGUCUGCCCAUGGUUUUGCUGUUUCCACCGAGGUGGACAGCUGAUGGCUCUGGAGUCCUUAGCUCCUUCCUCAUCUGCCCUCAGCCUCUUUGUGAUGUUAGGAGAUUCUAGGAAUUGUGCAGUAGCUGGGAAGAGCUAGUAGCCUUCAAGUCGCAGAGCUGUGGACAAAGUGUUUAGGAACAGAGGACAGGUGAGGCUUAGGUCCUGGAGCUGGACUACAGGAUGGGCACCACUCCCACCUCUGUGGCCUUGGGCUUGAUUCUUAAAUGCUUUGUGUCUCAGCACCUGCCUCUGUGAGGUGGAUAAACAAUACUGUCACCUCUUGGAGGACUGUGAAGAUUUCGUGACAGAAAUUCACGAAAAAACCUUAUACCACGGUGAGGCAGAUAAUCACUGCUCAAUAAACAGUAGCUGAGAUCUGCCCUCCAGUCUCCGUGUCUAUCCCAUGUCCUGUGUUUUUGUUUCCAGUUUCCCCAUUUGGCCAAGUGCUCGAGUCAUAAAAGUUUGGAGUUUUGCAUCAAGGAGUGGGAGCCGC